AACGAACGCUGGCGGCAUGCCUAACACAUGCAAGUCGAACGAGACCUUCGGGUCUAGUGGCGCACGGGUGCGUACCGCGUGGGAACCUGCCCUUAGGUUCGGAAUAACUCCCCGAAAGGGGUGCUAAUACCGGAUAAUGUCUUCGGACCAAAGAUUUAUCGCCUUUGGAUGGGCCCGCGUUGGAUUAGCUAGUUGGUAGGGUAAAAGCCUACCAAGGCGACGAUCCAUAGCUGGUCUGAGAGGAUGAUCAGCCACACUGGGACUGAGACACGGCCCAGACUCCUACGGGAGGCAGCAGUGGGGAAUAUUGGACAAUGGGCGAAAGCCUGAUCCAGCAAUGCCGCGUGAGUGAUGAAGGCCUUAGGGUUGUAAAGCCCUUUUACCCGGGAUGAUAAUGACAGUACCGGGAGAAUAAGCUCCGGCUAACUCCGUG
Molecule: ribosomal RNA, 433 nt
Filed under: uncultured bacterium
Lineage: Bacteria
Description: partial 16S ribosomal RNA
Rfam family: Bacterial small subunit ribosomal RNA
Source: RNAcentral